AGAGUUUGAUCAUGGCUCAGAUUGAACGCUGGCGGCAGGCCUAACACAUGCAAGUCGAACGGUAACAGGAAACAGCUUGCUGUUUCGCUGACGAGUGGCGGACGGGUGAGUAAUGUCUGGGAAACUGCCUGAUGGAGGGGGAUAACUACUGGAAACGGUAGCUAAUACCGCAUAACGUCGCAAGACCAAAGAGGGGGACCUUCGGGCCUCUUGCCAUCGGAUGUGCCCAGAUGGGAUUAGCUUGUUGGUGGGGUAACGGCUCACCAAGGCGACGAUCCCUAGCUGGUCUGAGAGGAUGACCAGCCACACUGGAACUGAGACACGGUCCAGACUCCUACGGGAGGCAGCAGUGGGGAAUAUUGCACAAUGGGCGCAAGCCUGAUGCAGCCAUGCCGCGUGUAUGAAGAAGGCCUUCGGGUUGUAAAGUACUUUCAGCGGGGAGGAAGAGAGUAAAGUUAAUACCUUUGCUCAUUGACGUUACCCGCAGAAGAAGCACCGGCUAACUCCGUGCCAGCAGCCGCGGUAAUACGGAGGGUGCAAGCGUUAAUCGGAAUUACUGGGCGUAAAGCGCACGCAGGCGGUUUGUUAAGUCAGAUGUGAAAUCCCCGGGCUCAACCUGGGAACUGCAUCUGAUACUGGCAAGCUUGAGUCUCGUAGAGGGGGGUAGAAUUCCAGGUGUAGCGGUGAAAUGCGUAGAGAUCUGGAGGAAUACCGGUGGCGAAGGCGGCCCCCUGGACGAAGACUGACGCUCAGGUGCGAAAGCGUGGGGAGCAAACAGGAUUAGAUACCCUGGUAGUCCACGCCGUAAACGAUGUCGACUUGGAGGUUGUGCCCUUGAGGCGUGGCUUCCGGAGCUAACGCGUUAAGUCGACCGCCUGGGGAGUACGGCCGCAAGGUUAAAACUCAAAUGAAUUGACGGGGGCCCGCACAAGCGGUGGAGCAUGUGGUUUAAUUCGAUGCAACGCGAAGAACCUUACCUGGUCUUGACAUCCACGGAAGUUUUCAGAGAUGAGAAUGUGCCUUCGGGAACCGUGAGACAGGUGCUGCAUGGCUGUCGUCAGCUCGUGUUGUGAAAUGUUGGGUUAAGUCCCGCAACGAGCGCAACCCUUAUCCUUUGUUGCCAGCGGUCCGGCCGGGAACUCAAAGGAGACUGCCAGUGAUAAACUGGAGGAAGGUGGGGAUGACGUCAAGUCAUCAUGGCCCUUACGACCAGGGCUACACACGUGCUACAAUGGCGCAUACAAAGAGAAGCGACCUCGCGAGAGCAAGCGGACCUCAUAAAGUGCGUCGUAGUCCGGAUUGGAGUCUGCAACUCGACUCCAUGAAGUCGGAAUCGCUAGUAAUCGUGGAUCAGAAUGCCACGGUGAAUACGUUCCCGGGCCUUGUACACACCGCCCGUCACACCAUGGGAGUGGGUUGCAAAAGAAGUAGGUAGCUUAACCUUCGGGAGGGCGCUUACCACUUUGUGAUUCAUGACUGGGGUGAAGUCGUAACAAGGUAACCGUAGGGGAACCUGCGGUUGGAUCACCU
Molecule: ribosomal RNA, 1530 nt
Filed under: Escherichia coli 2-156-04_S4_C2
Lineage: Bacteria; Pseudomonadati; Pseudomonadota; Gammaproteobacteria; Enterobacterales; Enterobacteriaceae
Description: bacterial SSU rRNA
Rfam family: Bacterial small subunit ribosomal RNA
Source: RNAcentral